This 656-nucleotide long non-coding RNA is filed under the name Vigna radiata. Its description in RNAcentral is "long non-coding RNA (VRAD_LNC002752)". Lineage: Eukaryota; Viridiplantae; Streptophyta; Magnoliopsida; Fabales; Fabaceae. The record is from RNAcentral.
GAAAGGAACAAAACUGCACUAAAACACAACACAAAGAAAACAAAUUUUAAUCAGUUCAACCAAAAGAUAAUCGAUGAAAGACUAAACAAAGUUUAAACGGUAAGCAUAAAAAAAAAAACCACGCACCUAGGAUGCAAUGCCGCAAGAAAGAAAAAGGAGAGGAGGAAGACGAUAAAGAUAUCAGAAACAACAAUAGAAUGCCGCAAGAGAGAAAAAGAAGAGGUGCCGUAAGCGAGAAAAAGAAGAGGUGCCGCGAGAGAAAAAGGAGAAGAGGAAGAUGAUAUCAGAAAUUGAAUGCCGCGAAGAGUUUGCGGUUUAUUUAAAAUGAAAUGGGGCGUCGGUUUCUAGACGUUAGUUAUCUCACUAAUAUGACGUCCAAGUUAACAUUUAAACUGACUUUUUGAAUACCCAUUAGACGUCGGUUUUGAGGGAAGCCGACGUCUAGGAAGUUGAACCGAUUGGCGUUUGAUUUCCUGUCAAGGAUGUUCACGACAGUUGUGAUGGGACGCCGAUGUCUAUAAUAGAGUCGACGUCGAUGCCCUUUUAAUCGAUGUCUAAGUCCCUCGAGUUUGGUGAACAUAAUUAAUUACAGGCACAUAGACGUUGCUUCCCCUCAACACCGACGUCUAAAUUGAAGAAUUUUUUGUCUUCCCGCC